CAAAUCCCUAGCACCACGCUUCCAAAUCCCGGAGGCCUGCCGUCGUUCUCCACGUCGUCCCACUGCCGCCCCACGCCGCCCAACUACCGCCCCAGAGCCGCCGCCGUCUCGUUCCCAUCUCCCAACUCCGCUCGUCCGACCGCGCUGGUCGCGGAUGCUGGGGCUUCUCGGCUCCCCGUCGUGGCCGCAUCUGCCGCGGGACACCAGCGGCUGAUUGGGUCACUGACCAACACCGAGGGGCUCAGGUUCGGCGUGGUAGCACAGAGGACAACUGUUGGUAGCAUUGAGCUGACGAAGAGAAGUGGCAGAUUUUUUGCUACGACACCUUAGUGCAUAAGGUGUGUGGAGUGUUGUAUAUUUUUGCUUUUAGUAUAUGAUUUCUUGAUGUGGUGCCUUUGAGUCUGGCUGUUAUCUUAGUGUAUUACUAGCAUAUCUCCCAGCCAAUAUAGCGUGUGACCAAGAAUUGAAGUUUGCCACUGAUUCUUAUAUUGUCUAAUUUGGUUGGUUAUUAGGAAUUUAGGAUUCUUGCUCCAUGUACUGCUAUACGUGUGAGUUUUGCAGGUGGAUGCAUUGGUUCUGCUAGGACAAAUAUAGAUGGACUAGUUCUUAAAGCAAGUGAUAUUGAAAAAAGAGGAACUCCUAGCUCACAAUAUGGUUCCAAUUCUCGACAAAACUCAAGAGAUGAAGCUGAGGAAGAUAAAGAUGGUGAUGAAGAUGAUGAAGAGCUCUUUGUUCAUAGAAGAGUCAUUGCAAAGCCCCCUGCAAGAAGCUCAUCAGCCCAUGAAGAUGAAAGCCUUAUUGGUAUGGAUGUGCUUCUAUAUGCAUGGACUGGUCCUGAAACUCCUGUUGCUAAGGCAACAAUUAUCUCACUUGACCCAGACACUAUUGUGGGCGGAGAGCCUCUUGGACCAGCAACUUAUGAGGUUCUUGUCGAUGUUGCGAUUAGAAGGGAUGCUACGGUGCCUUAUGAAUAUGACGGUUUACAAAUAAUCGCUGAUGCUGUCAGAAGGUCCAUUGCAUGGCCAUCUAGCAAGAUGAAGCCCUACAAGCCAGGGGCAUCUUCCUCAUCCCGCCAUUAAGGAAAGACGUACAAACGGACCAGGAAGGAACCAUGAAGAUGGCAGUUCGUGUUCGCCAGGCAUUUUGUGUGUAAUGGAGCAAAUACAUUGUCUAUAUCAUUUUGUGAACCUAUAUGGCGUCUUGUCAUCUGUGUAUUCUGUGUAAUGGAGAAAACAAUGAAUUGGUCUGACAUGCAUCUAUCAUUUUGUAACAUAUUGGGUGUUUCGGUGACUCGAGCAUAUAA
Triticum aestivum (bread wheat) is the source of this 1303-nucleotide long non-coding RNA. RefSeq lists it as uncharacterized. The record is from RefSeq and is a predicted model, not a curated record. NCBI's taxonomy places the organism in Eukaryota, Viridiplantae, Streptophyta, Magnoliopsida, Poales, Poaceae. The transcript has 8 exons.